UGAUGCAGACGCCAUACGAGACGAUUGUCCCAAGGAGGGAGUUAGGAGCUGACAGAGUACAGCUGAAAUGUGAAAUGUGGAAAAUCGAAAGAAUUCGAAAAUCCAUUUGUCAUCAUUUGCCACGUAAUGACGACCAUUGUUGAAGCUGGCCAGGAAUUCUAAUAAGCUGUCAUCAAUCCUGCAGCUGUAGUGUGCCUAUACUAAAAAUGGAAUAAAAAUUGUAAUAUCACAGCUAUCUUACUAAUUUUCUGUUCUUGUCUUUCAGAUAUAUGUUUUGUAAAUAGUGAAUCUCAAAUCCAAGAACUUUGAGUCGUUAUUUCACUCAAUUGACUUUCUUUUUUCCGAUUUUAAUAAUGGUGAUAAAUUGCAAGUACUUACCUGAGCAGCUGAGCUCUUCCUUUAGAACUGUGGUUCCUUUCAAUUGAUUCAUUUGAGUUUAAUCCCUCGCUGCUGUUCCAGACCUUAUCCACUAGUAGAAUAUGCCGAGAGAUGUUGAACUUAUACCAGAUUAACCCUUCCCCCUUGUGCUACAAUUUGAAGAUAUUGACGGUAACAGAAGAGCUUGCUUUCUAUCAAUAUCAAUAAAUUAGGUAGAUGUAGAUAACUUACAAGUGCAUAUCUGGGCUCCCUUCUUUUCUGUGGCCCCGUUUCCCUAACUAACCACUAACCAACGCCCGCCGGUGGUCACUCACCCGCUGUGAAACCAGGAGGAUGAGGAGGGCUCUGGUUGAACGGGGACUUGGAAGGCGCAUGAUCCUUUUGGAGGGUAAUGAGUCUAACCAGGAAGCCUACUAUGACUAAUCGCUCCCUAGUAAAACUUGCCUCGAACUCUUCCCUCUUCUUCCUUGUCCAGGUAAUCUCCCUGGGCACAGUCGAUCAAGGCAGAGUUUCCCCCUCUCUGGAUUGACUGUAUGUGGCAAUUAAAGCAAUGAAUGAGAAAAGCGUGGAAAUCUGCGUCAGGUAGUUUUAAAGAAUUAUAUAUUUUUGUAUCAAUUGAUGUUGGAAUAUUUGUUAAUAUCUUGCACGGAACAAAAAGAUUUAUUUAGUACCAGACGCUAUUGAAUUAUUAUUUAUUUAAAUAAUAUAACAGUAUGUUUUUAAUACAAAUAUUUAGUAAUAACAGUUAUGAUGUAAUAAAAAUUCAUAGA
Molecule: long non-coding RNA, 1148 nt
Filed under: Daphnia pulicaria
Lineage: Eukaryota; Metazoa; Arthropoda; Branchiopoda; Diplostraca; Daphniidae
Description: uncharacterized LOC124313617, transcript variant X3
Source: RNAcentral